Molecule: long non-coding RNA, 1155 nt
Filed under: Zonotrichia albicollis (white-throated sparrow)
Lineage: Eukaryota; Metazoa; Chordata; Aves; Passeriformes; Passerellidae
Description: lncRNA (ENSZALG00000005120.1)
Source: RNAcentral
AUGGGUGGUGGGACCUCAUUUUGGGUGGUGGGACCUCAUUUUGGGACCUCAUUUUGGAUGGUGGGACUUCCUUAUAGAUGGUGGGACCUCAUUAUGGGUGGUGGGACCUCAUUAUGGGUGGUGGGACCUCAUUAUGGGUGGUGGGACCUCAUUUUGGAUAGUGGGAAAUCAUUGUGGGUGGUGGGACCUCAUUGUGGAUGGUGGGACCUCAUUGUGGGUGGUGGGACCUCAUUAUGGGUGGUGGGACCUCAUUGUGGGUGGUGGGACCUCAUUUUGGAUGGUGGGAACUCAUUUUGGGACCUCAUUAUGGAUGGUGGGACCUCAUUUUGGAUGGUGGGACCUCAUUUUGGGUGGUGGGACCUCAUUGUGGGUGGUGGGAUCUCAUUAUGGAUGGUGGGACCCCAUUUUGGGUGGUGGGACCUCAUUAUGGAUGGUGGGACCUCAUUAUGGGUGGUGGGACCUCAGUAUGAAUGGUGGGACCACAUUAUGGGUGGUGGGACCUCAUUUUGGGUGGUGGGACCUCAUUUUGGUUGGUGGGACCUCCUUAUGGAUGGUGGGACCUCAUUAUGGGUGGUGGGACCUCAUUUUGGAUGGUGGGAACUCAUUGUGGGUGGUGGGACCUCAUUAUGGAUGGUGGGACCUCAUUGUGGAUGGUGGGACCUCAUUUUGGGUGCUGGGACCUCAUUUUGGGUGGUGGGACCUCAUUGUGGGUGGUGGGACCUCGUUUUGGGUGGUGGGACCUCAUUUUGGGUGGUGGGACCUCAUUAUGAAUGGUGGGACCUCAUUAUGGGUGGUGGGACCUCAUUAUGGGUGGUGGGACCUGAUUUUGGUUGGUGGGACCUCAUUAUGGGUGGUGGGACCUCAAUUUGGGUGAUGGGACCUCAUUUUGGGACCUCAUUUUGGAUGGUGGGACCUCCUUAUAAAUGGUGGGACCUCAUUGUGGGUGGUGGGACCUCAUUGUGGAUGGUGGGAACUCAUUAUGGGUGGUGGGACCUCAUUAUGGGUGGUGAGACCUCAUUUUGGGACCUCAUUAUGGGUGGUGGGACCUCAUUUUGGAUGGUGGGAACUCAUUGUGGGUGGUGGGACCUCGUUAUGGAUGGUGGGACCUCAUUGGGGACCACCUUGAGCAGGGGAGGGGUGGUUGGACAUCUUUGA